Lytechinus variegatus (green sea urchin) is the source of this 2261-nucleotide long non-coding RNA. RefSeq lists it as uncharacterized. The record is from RefSeq and is a predicted model, not a curated record. NCBI's taxonomy places the organism in Eukaryota, Metazoa, Echinodermata, Echinoidea, Temnopleuroida, Toxopneustidae. The transcript has 5 exons.
GGGCCCCGUUGCAUAAAACUUUUGCCAGACUUAUUUUUGCCAUAGUUUUUCUAUGGCAAAAACCUUAGUUUUUUGCCAGAGUUUCAAAUUCGGUCAAAAUUUCAUGGCAAAAAAACUCUGGCAAACUUUUGCCAGAGUUUUUUAAUUUGCCAGAGUUUUUUAAGACUGAAUAAACUUGGACGAGGAUGAACGCCGAUAUCAGCCGAUAUUGCGAUCGGUAUCUGCAGCUGCUGAAAAAAUCUUGGAGACUCCACAAAACCUUAAAUUGUUGAGGUAUAUACACAGGAGCAACUCACGUGCAUGUGUGACCUUUUUGAGAAGAAACCACGCAAGACUGUUGGUUAGCAAUCACCAUGUAAAAGGGUUUGCAGAAACCAGACAGAGGGCCUGGGUGGAGAUGCUAUUGGCUGCCUAGGUCGGACUGCCUCCAACCUGAGGUGGUCUUGGAGUGAUCUAACAUUAGAAUGAAUGGUUACGCUAGGAAUCAGACAAAGACUGGAGGUGAACAGUUUGGUAAAGUGAAGUCAAAAUGGAAAUCGUGCUGGCAGUCAUGAGGAACAAGGCCAAGCAUUGGGUCCAUCCAUGGCCAGGAGACAGAGACUGAGACAUCUGAGCAACUGCUUUCACAUAAGGCAGCCUGCUUCUGGACAUGGGGAAGCCAGAGAAAGAGAAGGAGGUUGAGGGGGAGCCUCAAGCUGUUCCCGAGGCACCAUUGACAUCCAGGGUAGAUGGGAUCUACCGGUAGUUGAUUGUGUAGGACACCAAGAUGAAACCCAGCGUAAGAGAAGAAAGAGAAGGUGAUCUUCCUGUUUUGACCAGCACACCGAGUACCAGGAGCAUGGAUCUGCUGCAAGUUCAACAGGAGACUCAGAAUGCAGCAAGCUAUGCUGCAAAUAUUUUAUAUAAAAAAUCAUCCAUGAUGAUUUUAAAAUUAUCCUUAAUUGUUUGCAGCAGUUUGUUAAUGGAAAUCAGAAGUAAUGUUGAAUAAUUCAACUUCCUUUUUUUUUGUAUUUUACUACUGAUGUCCAUUAACAUCUACAAUAAAUAUUACCCGUGUUCUAAGUAAAUCUUGCUGAAUUUUAAAGAAGGCAUCAAAUACUUAUUGGUGCAUAUACUCCACCUUUUUUUAUGAUGUUCCCUUGUUUUCCUGCUGAAAAGCUCAAUGCAGCUUUAACUUAAGCAAAAUAUGAACAAAAAUCUUUAUUUGUAGAAAUCCAUACAGCAAUAUCUAUAUUACAGAGAUUGGGCAAGAUUGUUUCAUUGACAGUUACUAAUUAAAAUAAUUAAUUUCAUGUUAUUUAUGAUAGUUUCUCAAACAAUUUCCAUUGAAAAUGAAAUAAAUGAAAUGUAUGAGAAAUUUUAAGAACAAUAUUCAUCAAAAAGAAUCGUUUGCUGCUGCUAUUGUUUUUUUAGAAGCAAAUUUUACAUUUUAAAAUAAACCAGGCUAUGUUGGCUUUUAUGAAUUCAUCUUUUCUGUCAACUCUAAAAAUAGUAGCUUCAAUGCCACAUACAAUUUAUAUUCUUCUGGAAUUAAUAUUUAAAUUAUUUUAUUAGAUGUUUUCAUCAUCUGUAGAAUUUUUAGUAAAACUUGAACUGCAGAAACACUUCAAAAGAAGAAAUGAGUAGACUGAAAACCUGUUGAAUAUUCUUUUUAGAAAAUGAAGUAAAAUCACCUUGAACUUUGGAAAUUUCCAAAAGCAUAUGUUUGAGCAAGUAAUAUGAAAAUGAGUUUUGCUUAGGUCACAUUACGGCGAGUAGAAAUAAGCCGUUUUAUGUAUUAUUAUACGAAUCACCUACAUGAAGCUGGUACAAGGAUGAAUAAAAUGGCUGAUUUCGACUAGCCGUAAGGCCACCGGCCGGCAAAUGUGACCUAGGCAUAAAUUGCUGAUGUCAUUGCCUCAUAAUUUUAUACAAAAUAAUGGCAAAGACUACAUCCUUUAGGAUUGAGAAAGUUAAACUUGAACUUUAUUCUCAUCUCAGUAGAUAGAAGAUAAUGUUAUUCAUUCAAUACUUGAAUAAGAUUUGAACAAGUGCCUUGCAAUGCAACAUAAAAAUUAAGGUUCUGAAAUCUUAAAGGGAAUCCCUGUGCAAGAACAGUUUUAAAGUUUAUUUAUACAUGUUCAUCUUGCAAGUCUGUUAUAUUUUCUGUCAGCAUUGUUUGUGGAUCCCACACUGGUGUCAUAAGCCAUGGUUCUUAUAUAUAUAUCCUGCAUUGCCCAACAGGAUGCCUUGCAAUUCGCCAUCUGCAAAAGGUUAUCCAA